Molecule: ribosomal RNA, 254 nt
Filed under: uncultured bacterium
Lineage: Bacteria
Description: partial 16S ribosomal RNA
Rfam family: Bacterial small subunit ribosomal RNA
Source: RNAcentral
UACGGGGGGGGCAAGCGUUGUUCGGAAUUACUGGGCGUAAAGGGCGCGUAGGCGGCCUGCUAAGUCGGACGUGAAAUCCCUCGGCUCAACCGGGGAACUGCGUCCGAUACUGGCGAGGCUUGAAUCCGGGAGAGGGAUGUGGAAUUCCAGGUGUAGCGGUGAAAUGCGUAGAUAUAUGGAGGAACACCGGUGGCGAAGGCGACAUCCUGGACCGGUAUUGACGCUGAGGCGCGAAAGCCAGGGGAGCAAACGGG